This 768-nucleotide ribosomal RNA is filed under the name Vreelandella aquamarina. Its description in RNAcentral is "bacterial SSU rRNA". It matches the Rfam family "Bacterial small subunit ribosomal RNA", at positions 28 to 796 of the family's 1533-position model. Lineage: Bacteria; Pseudomonadati; Pseudomonadota; Gammaproteobacteria; Oceanospirillales; Halomonadaceae. The record is from RNAcentral.
AUUGGGGCCAUGCGGCAGCCUACCAUGCAAGUCGAGCGGUAACAGAUCCAGCUUGCUGGAUGCUGACGAGCGGCGGACGGGUGAGUAAUGCAUAGGAAUCUGCCCGAUAGUGGGGGAUAACCUGGGGAAACCCAGGCUAAUACCGCAUACGUCCUACGGGAGAAAGGGGGCUUCGGCUCCCGCUAUCGGAUGAGCCUAUGUCGGAUUAGCUAGUUGGUGAGGUAACGGCUCACCAAGGCCACGAUCCGUAGCUGGUCUGAGAGGAUGAUCAGCCACAUCGGGACUGAGACACGGCCCGAACUCCUACGGGAGGCAGCAGUGGGGAAUAUUGGACAAUGGGGGGAACCCUGAUCCAGCCAUGCCGCGUGUGUGAAGAAGGCCCUCGGGUUGUAAAGCACUUUCAGCGAGGAAGAACGCCUAGCGGUUAAUACCCGCUAGGAAAGACAUCACUCGCAGAAGAAGCACCGGCUAACUCCGUGCCAGCAGCCGCGGUAAUACGGAGGGUGCAAGCGUUAAUCGGAAUUACUGGGCGUAAAGCGCGCGUAGGUGGCUUGAUAAGCCGGUUGUGAAAGCCCCGGGCUCAACCUGGGAACGGCAUCCGGAACUGUCAAGCUAGAGUGCAGGAGAGGAAGGUAGAAUUCCCGGUGUAGCGGUGAAAUGCGUAGAGAUCGGGAGGAAUACCAGUGGCGAAGGCGGCCUUCUGGACUGACACUGACACUGAGGUGCGAAAGCGUGGGUAGCAAACAGGAUUAGAUACCCUGGUAGUCA